RNAcentral lists this ribosomal RNA (774 nucleotides) under uncultured Neocallimastigales. RNAcentral's name for it is "partial large subunit ribosomal RNA". It matches the Rfam family "Eukaryotic large subunit ribosomal RNA", at positions 24 to 635 of the family's 3401-position model. The record is from RNAcentral. Lineage: Eukaryota; Fungi; Neocallimastigomycota; Neocallimastigomycetes; Neocallimastigales.
AUCUCUGUAGAGUCUGCAUAUCAAUAAGCGGAGGAAAAGAAACUAACUAGGAUUCCCUCAGUAACGGCGAGUGAAGCGGGAAGAGCUCAAAUUUGAAAUCUUAAAGGUUUCCCUUGACGAAUUGUAGUUUAAAGAAGUGUUUUCUGUUGGAGGUUUUGGUAAAAGUUCUUUGGAAUAGGACAUCAUAGAGGGUGAGAAUCCCGUAUUUGACCAUUUACUUUCAGCUUUGUGAUACACUUUCAAAGAGUCGGAUUGUUUGGGAAUGCAGUCCAAAAUGGGUGGUAAAUUUCAUCUAAAGCUAAAUAUUGGCGAGAGACCGAUAGCGAACAAGUACCGUGAGGGAAAGAUGAAAAGAACUUUGAAAAGAGAGUUAAACAGUACGUGAAAUUGUCAAAAGAGAAGCGUUUGACACCAGUGUUGUUUUUCUGAAAAUCAAUUAAAGAACUGUUUAUGCUAAGUUGUUUAGACUUUAUCAGCUAUCUGUUUAGUUUUGAGCUUUUCUUUAAUGCACUUUUCAGUUAACAAGUCAACAUCAAUUUCUUUUGCUGUAAAAAAGCUUGAGGAAGGUGGCUUGAGAUUCGUCUUAAGUGUUUAUAGCCUCUUGCCUAUGCAGUCGGAGAGAUUGAGGUCUGCAGCGUAGAUCCUUCGGGGCUAAAUGCAUUUGUGCUAAGUUAUAGCAUUUUAUAGACAACUUGUUGACUAUGAUUUGUCUUGUAGCUUACUCGCUUAUGUUAUUUUACCUACGCUUAGGAUGUUGACGAUCAGCUGAGCGCG